GGAGCGCCCCCCCUCCCCCGUCCGCGGGGGAAGGGGCGGCCGCGCCCCACACGUUACGUGUCAAAAACGACUCUCGGCAACGGAUAUCUCGGCUCUCGCAUCGAUGAAGAACGUAGCGAAAUGCGAUACUUGGUGUGAAUUGCAGAAUCCCGUGAACCAUCGAGUCUUUGAACGCAAGUUGCGCCCGAAGCCCUCGGGCCGAGGGCACGCCUGCCUGGGCGUCACGCAUCGCGUCGCCCCCCCCGACCCUCGGGUCGGCGCGGGGGCGGAGGAUGGCCUCCCGUGCGCGGAACCGUCGCGCGGCCGGCCCAAACGCGAUCCCCCGGCGGCGCCCGUCGCGACCAGUGGUGGUUGAACCGAACGCUCAACUCUCGUGCUGUCAGUCGCGCGCGGCGUCGUCCGGACGGGAGACGACCCGAUCGGCGAUCCCCUCCUCGCGGGGAGGGGCGCCUCCGACCGCGACCCCAGGUCAGGCGGGAUCACCC
This 485-nucleotide ribosomal RNA is filed under the name Carlowrightia myriantha. RNAcentral describes it as "eukaryotic LSU rRNA". The stretch from base 69 to 224 matches the Rfam family "5.8S ribosomal RNA". The record is from RNAcentral. Lineage: Eukaryota; Viridiplantae; Streptophyta; Magnoliopsida; Lamiales; Acanthaceae.